RNAcentral lists this ribosomal RNA (482 nucleotides) under uncultured archaeon. RNAcentral describes it as "bacterial SSU rRNA". It matches the Rfam family "Archaeal small subunit ribosomal RNA", at positions 357 to 842 of the family's 1478-position model. The record is from RNAcentral.
GCGCGAAAGCGUGACGGGGGGAAUCCGAGUGCUCUUCUUACGAGGAGCUUUUUGUAAGUUUAGCUUGCUUGCAGAAUAAGUGGUGGGCAAAUCCUGUGCCAGCCGCCGCGGUAAUACAGGUAGCACAAGUAGUAUCCGCGAAUAUUGAGUCUAAAGCGCCCGUAGCCGGUUCAGCCAGUUUCUUGUCAAAUCAUACAGCUUAACUGUAUGGUUGCAGGGAAUACUACUAGACUAGGGAGUGGGGGAGGUCAGAGGUACUUUAGGGGGAGGAGUAAAAUCCUGUAAUCCUUAGAGGACCCACGGUGGCGAAAGCGUCUGACCAAAACACAUCCGACGGUGAGGGACGAAGGCUAGGGGAGCGAACCGGAUUAGAUACCCGGGUAGUCCUAGCAGUAAAUGAUGCAGACUAGGCGUUGCAGUCACUACGUGUGGCUGCAGUGCCGUAGGGAAGCUGUUUAGUCUGCCACUUGGGGAGUACGGUC